Long non-coding RNA from Orcinus orca (killer whale), 3275 nucleotides. RefSeq lists it as uncharacterized. Lineage: Eukaryota; Metazoa; Chordata; Mammalia; Artiodactyla; Delphinidae. The transcript has 4 exons. The record is from RefSeq and is a predicted model, not a curated record.
GCCGCCCGGCGGCCCCGAGGCAGGCAGAGGAGCUUCCCUGGCCCCGCUCAGCUGGCCCCGAGCCGCCGGCGGCGGAGGCCCCCGAACACCCACCGCUCCCCGCUCCUGCGGGGCGAGAGGGAACUCUGCGGCGCCACGGCAGGAAAAGGGAAGCUUGAAUACGCGUGGUGAUUAGUACAUACCCGCGCGACUCCACACCUCAACAGCUGUCAGCACCGUCCCGGCCCACCUCACCCUACGGACUCCAGGUCUCUCUACCCAGGUCACAUUCCUCCAUCCAUCCAUCUCUCUCUUAGUCAACCCCCGUUAUCCCCUCCAGUUCUCCUUUCCCCCACUACUCUCUCACACUCACCUGUCACAUAUACUAGUUCAGAUCUGCACAUUUUGGUGGAAAACCUGUCAGUCUGAUGCUGGGACUCUAAGCCUCUUCACACACUCCCACACCCAGCUAUCUCAAGACUGAUCUCUUGGCUCCAUGUCUGCAAGUCUGACUCCCAGAAGCCUGCUGAUUCUCUGAUGUCCUUGGCCUGCGGUUAGGGUGACUGGGCUGCCACCUGGACGUCACCAUGGCGAGGUUGCUGUUCAGAGUUCUUUUGAGAAGCUCAGGUACAGAACAUAUACCUGAUGCACUUGAACACACACAGGCCACUCACACAGGCUUCAUCUCUGUCUUGUAGCUGUGCUUGCUGCCCGAACUGACAGGCUGCAGAGAAGUUUGCACGGUUCUCUCCCAUGCACACACCCACACGGCGCCAGGCCCCAGGCCAGCCGGUAUUAUUCUGCCUGAUUAGGAUUAGCAGAGUCACUUACCCAAAUAUGUGCUUGGGAGAGAGAGUGAGAAAGAGUAGGGAAGUGGUGAGAGAGAGAGAGAGAGAGAGAGAGAGAGAGAGGAGAGAUAAAGGGAGAGAGGGAGAGAGGACGCUAUUACCCAUUCUGGGGAAGAACUCACAGACCAGAGCUGAGAGCUGUUUCCAGUUGGUUCGCCCAGGGAUGCUUUCAUCUGGGGUUGAUGGGGAUGAUAGCCUGGAAAUGUCACACCUUGCCUGGGAAAGUGGUGUUGAACCCCUUUUCUGUGCAUUGGCUGUUCCAGGUGUGGGGACGCAGUGAGGAGCAACGUGUGAUUUCUGCUCACAGGGAGCCCCAGGUGACAAGUACACAGCCUGUACACAUCUCCCCAGCCCAAGAUGCAGGUGCCAUAGGAGGCAAGAGGAAGAGAGGAGAGAUUUCUGGCUGGGUAAUCUGGGAAGGCCUGGCAGGUAAAGGUCUCGUCCCCCAGGAGAGGCUGAGCUGCCCUUCUCACCCCCACCCCCCGCCCCCCGCCAUGCCAUUGCAUGGGCCAGAGGACAGCAUGUUACUGCCUUAAUCAAGGAGUGCUUUCACCUUUGUACCUGUCAGGUGCCAAGGUAUGUGCCAAGUGUUAUGGUGGACAUAAGAAAAGACCUAGUUUCUAUCCAUGAAGAGUUCUCUUCAGUCUGAUUGGGAAGAAAAACAACACACACUCGAUCCACAACAGAUCAGCAAGCAUUGGUUGUAAUUCAACAAACUUUUCUGAAGUGUUUACGGUAUGCCAGAAGGAGGGCCUCCUGCCUUCAGCAGGCUGUAUGGCCUUCUCGGCAUGUCCGUGUUUUGGGUGCUCUGUGUUCCUGUCCACCCCUCCUCUCACCCCAAACUCGGGGUGCAUCCUUGGUCAUGUGGGCCUUGGUAAAGUUGACUUACCUAUCAGUGUCUUCUCAGUUGCUUGCUGGUCAUCCUUUAAGUCUACUCAAGGAUCAUCUCCUCUUGGAGGUAUUCCCUGGCCCAAUAAUCUAUUGAUACAUCAGCAGGCUGGGCUGGGUGUUUGGGGUCCUACGGCACGUUGUCUGUGCUUUCUUCUAUCUCAGCAAUUCUUACCCUCUGCUGUAAAUUAUUUGUUAAUUUGUUUAUCUCCUUCUCCUAGACUGUGAACCUCCUGAGAACAGUGGCUGUUUUCUCAUCAUCUUUGUAUUCUUAGUGCCUGACGUAUCUGUAGUGCAGAAAAUGUUCGUUGAAUGAAUGUCUGAGACUCCACAUUUAGCGCUUCUUUCUCUUAGGCGCAGAUUCAGUCUGGGAAAAGAUGAGGCAUUCAAAUGUUAUUAGUCACUAACACUUUAGUAUGAAUCAUUCCAGUGUUUCAUUAUAGUUCUGUGAGAGGUAGAAACUGGGAAUGGGAGGAACUCUAGGACAAGAGUUAGGGGUCCGCACGUGUUAUAUUCUCGGAUAGUGAGGUGCCAGGGUGAAGAGGAGCGGAAUUCAGGAUGGGAGAGGGUCCCGGAGGGCUCGAAGGCAAAGGCUGCCGGCGGUAUCGUCAGACGCUCAAGUGGAGGAAAGAAAGGGCAGCUUCCGGGUGUGCCAGGCCCGCCGCGUGUCUUGGGUGCAGGACGUUGACGGUGCACGGUGCGUCCAACGGGCCGGAAGUCGGAAGUCGAGCUGGCCCGACGUGGGGGUCUUCCUCGCUUUGUAGCGCCGGAAGCGGCAGCCGGCUGUGGGGCUCAGAGCCGUGCCGGGCCCUACCGUGUUAUCCUACCCCGCGGCGGUGCAGGAAGCCCCUGGGGAGCGCACCCGAGCCCCGGCGCCGGGCCUCCGCCUGGGCGUGGUACAUGGCCCUCGGCUCUCAGCGCAGACGCGCUCGCCCAGGGAGGCGGGGUCGGCCGUGGUCCUGCACUGCGGCCGCCUCGCCAUCUUCAUGUCUCUUUGACGUCCUCAGAGAUGCUGGCCUCGCCACCUCCCGCCUCUGCUAAGCCCUGCCUCGGAGGCCCCGUCCCGGGAAAGGAAUAAAAGAUACGCCCCGAGACGGCGGGACCGACUGCAGCUUCCUGUGGCCGCAAGAAGGCGUAGCUAAGACAUUCUCUAGGUAGGGACGACCCUGGAGACAAGUUCCCUGACCAGGAAUUGAGCCUGAGCCAUGGCAGUGAAAGCGCUGAGUCCUAACCACUGGACCACUGGGGAAAUCCCCAGAUAAUUUUCUUAAGGUGAGUAGAUGAAAAGUCGGGAGAGAAAGCAGUAGCUAGAGGGAUGUUCAUGGGUCAGGGAUGGUAUAUCUAUAUCUAUAUCUAUCUAUCUAUACACCAUAUAUUUGAGUUAAAUACAUGGUUAAUAUAUAUAACACAUUAAAGUAUAAAUACAUAAUAAUUAGUAUAAAGUAAAUAUAAUAAUAUAUUUAUAUAUAAUAUAUACAUAUAUAAAUUAAACAUACAUAUGUAUAUACAAGUAUAAAUAUAUGUAUUUCUAUUAGUGGGAAUAAUACACACAUGUUUUCA